Long non-coding RNA from Gopherus evgoodei (Goodes thornscrub tortoise), 101 nucleotides. RefSeq lists it as uncharacterized. The record is from RefSeq and is a predicted model, not a curated record. The transcript has 3 exons. Lineage: Eukaryota; Metazoa; Chordata; Testudines; Testudinidae.
ACGAAUAGCUGAGUGGUUUGAGCACUCCCCUGCUAAAUUCAGGGUUGUGGGUUCAAACCUUGACAGGGUCACUUAGGGAUCUAGGGCAAAAAUCAGUGUUU